UUUAUUUGAAUGCCAUGAGGCUGAGUUUUAACUUUAGUUUAACUUAUUAGGCUUCCUAGAUUCUAUCUCAUCAAUUUCAAAUUUUUAUUUUUGAUCCUCAUCCCUGUCUAAUGAAAUUCUUUCUUUUUCUUUUUGCAGGUACCCUACAACAGGAGAUAAUGAUUGUCUCAUGGAAGCAAUAGUUUUCAACAAUACUUCAAUUAGAGUUUGAUUGCAUUGUAGAUUUUUGAUGAAAAAUUUAACAAAGGAAUUAGAUUUUAUUAUUGACUAACAUGGAUGACGAUGAUGAUGAUUCAAAGAAUACGUGGUCGGGUUCAUAGGAUGCCAAGGUGGAAUUGUGAAGUGUAGAUAUGUCAUGCGAGUAAUACAAAAAGUCCUUAAUGAAUUGGAUGGUUUUGUUGCAGAGACAGAUAUUAUCAUGGAAAGGAAACCCCUAAACUUGGAUAGCAAUACUCAUGCUGAUUCAGCUGAAGAUACAUUAUACUAGAUACUGUCAAAGAAUAAUUGUGCUCCUGAAUGGGUCAAGCUUAACAAAGGAAUCAGACGCUUAACCUUAAAUAAAGCAGUGGGUAGCAAAAAGAAUGGUGAUAUGUCCACAUGGCACGAAUAUCUAACUUCUUUGAAAGUUCAGCUAGGUAGCAUCAAUGAUAAGGUCAGUGGUGACCCUUAAUUAUUUGAUUGUCAUUAAUAAAGGCGGCAAAGUGGGUGGAUUGGGGAAUGUCAGUAUAGAACAACAAAGAGUGGUAGACGACAAAGCCGCAAAAAGAAUGGUUAUAUGUCCACAUGGCACGAAUAUCUAACUUCUUUGAAAGUUCAGCUAUGUAGCAUCAAUGAUAAGAUGUUUGGAUUGGGAAGCCUUCGGUGGUUGUUGAUGGUGUCACCGACUCACUAAGUCCUAAAAAAAUAUCGACUAAGUGACAUGAAAUUCACUCCGGCCAGCAACCAUUCUUCCGGCGAGCAACCAUAACAAAAUUGAUGGCCGGAGUGAAUCUGCAGAUUGGCGGUGUGACUAUUCUUUGUAAUGGGCAAUCUGAUUACAUUAGUGAUGACAAAGAAGUUAAAUCAGUUAGCAUAUAUGGUUCCCUUGACGCUGCAGUGGACAAUGUGAUACACUCUUUGCAAGUGUCACAAGAGAGUAUAUCGAUUAAUACAAGAGGUUACUAAGACUGGUGCUUGAUUAAUCUGGAUGGAAGACAUAUCCAUGAGGUAUAAAGAUUCUAAACAUCGAGUCUUAUGAUUAAGAUGAAUGACUUGGUCACUUGAGAUAUUUACAGAUGGCUGCCACUACAUACGAUACAUUUCUCCUUGCUUCAGAAAGAUAUAGAAUUGGUAGAGCACAAGUUUCUUUAGUUUGAAAUUCAUUCUUGAAGGCAUAAUAGUCAAAUAAAUGUACCAAUAGGAAAACAAAUAUGUGAUCGGUAUUUACAUGCAUGGGAACAGUUUUUUGACUAUUUGGGAGAAGCAUUUGGUUGAAACAGCAGAAUACCAUUUGACGUAUGAAUGUCUUUUUUUGCUGUUUAAGUCGUGUGCACCUUUAUCUCAAAUGGUUGAAAAAGGUCAUAUAUCUUGAAAUGAGCCGAAGAGCAUACACAAUCGAGUCGGUAGAAUUGGCGUUGUAUGCAUGCUUUUUUUUCUUGUUUUCUUCUUUUAAUAUAUAUAGUUAAUCAAUGAAGACUUUUUUGAAUACAAGUUGGUUAUUUCGUAUGUAGUAUAACUCCGGUUUCUUUUUGGGCAACCUACAUUCAAAGUCA
Erigeron canadensis is the source of this 1751-nucleotide long non-coding RNA. RefSeq lists it as uncharacterized. The record is from RefSeq and is a predicted model, not a curated record. The transcript is spliced from 11 exons. NCBI's taxonomy places the organism in Eukaryota, Viridiplantae, Streptophyta, Magnoliopsida, Asterales, Asteraceae.